UACGUAGGGUGCGAGCGUUAAUCGGAAUUACUGGGCGUAAAGCGUGCGCAGGCGGUUCGUUGUGUCGGCGGUGAAAGCCCCGGGCUUAACCUGGGAAUGGCCGUCGAAACUGGCGAACUGGAGUGUGGCAGAGGGGGGUGGAAUUCCGCGUGUAGCAGUGAAAUGCGUAGAGAUGCGGAGGAACACCGAUGGCGAAGGCAGCCCCCUGGGCUAGCACUGACGCUCAGGCACGAAAGCGUGGGGAGCAAACAGG
Molecule: ribosomal RNA, 253 nt
Filed under: uncultured bacterium
Lineage: Bacteria
Description: partial 16S ribosomal RNA
Rfam family: Bacterial small subunit ribosomal RNA
Source: RNAcentral